AGUAGAUGUGUAGUAAAUAGUAUCAAAGAAUAAGUAAUUACACUAAGCAAGGAUUGCAAUUACAUUCAGAAAGUGUUCCUAGUAAGAAAGCUCAUCCUGGGACUCGAUUUUCCCUCGAUUUGUUCCUGCCGGGUUAAUCGUUAGCAGUUACUCGUUCAAAACAAGGGGAAAUAUUUGCAGCUCUUAAAAUUCAUUGAUAACAUUUAAGACAAUAUUCCUCGAAACUGAUUUAAAUUGCCUCGAAAAUACUCUCCUAUAACUAAGCACACAAUUUAUCAUUCCUGGCAACACGGCGUACUGUUAUUGUUUACCUUUGAUGACUUGCUUUGUGCGUAGUCUCUGUACAAUUUCAUGAACAAAUCAGUGCAGUUUUUCCAUUACGAGAAAAACAGGAAACAGUUCAAGAGUGAAAGCAAAAGAGAUGUUGGAAAAUGGCACGAGAAAGCUUCGGUUUUCCAAUUGUGCCUUCUUGUGCACUAACCGGUGCGUCCUCAACGGAUUAUACCAUCUCUGAAACCGUUGCACAGUUCACCGGACUUGGAAAUGGUUGAAUAUGUGCACUAUCAGCCAGAUGCCAUGCUGGUACCGAGAUGGAAGAAACGCUGGUCAACGAUAGCUAGGUCUGUUCGGCAGACCCAUCACUGCACCACGGGAUGAUUAUUUAAACUUACCUAAAACAGUUCAGGAUCGGAUGGACCACGAGCCACCAAAAGUGACAAAUAUUGGGAAACGAAUAAUUCUUGUGGAUUUUGAUUUUGGUGGGUUCAGCUACGGAUUCACCGACAGUCGAAUGGUUGAUGCAGCGCAUGAUGCAGGUCUCCUUUCGAUAGCAUCGGACGUUGCCAUAGAAACGAACGUAAGAGAUCGUCCUGACAAUGGCUCCUACGACCUGAUCGAAACGGAUGUCGCAUAUACUACGGAACCGGAGUUUGUGGCCACUGCGAGAAAGGGUACGAACCUCCUGCACGUGGCCACUUCACCACAAUUUACGAACAGCGAACAUUGUGGUUAGCGUUGUAGGAAGAAAUCAGUGCUGAAGCAACAUCUGGUACCACACCAACAAACUCGUUGAGCUUUUCUACGCCAUGAGUAUGAAUUAAUGAUCGACCUCGUAAGAAUCGAGUUUGGCCCGUGGGUGCAAUGGGUUUUGGUAGACACAGCAUAGCAAACGCGAGUUCGACCCGUAGGUGCGGGACGUCCCUUGGGUGCAACGAGGUGCAUGGAUUGGACUGAACUCGUCAAAUUCAUAGGUCGAUCCGAAGUCGCUGCACCCCCGGAUCGACUCGAACUCGUUGGAACUAGUAAUUUUAAGGGCGUACAACCGCUGCAGCUGGAAUCCAUAAGGCCGAG
Long non-coding RNA from Anopheles stephensi (Asian malaria mosquito), 1350 nucleotides. RefSeq lists it as uncharacterized. The record is from RefSeq and is a predicted model, not a curated record. The transcript is spliced from 2 exons. NCBI's taxonomy places the organism in Eukaryota, Metazoa, Arthropoda, Insecta, Diptera, Culicidae.